UCAGACCCCUUUGAUAGUGACAGUGACCCAGAUGACCCUGAGCCUUUCCAUGGUUUUGAUGCCUUGCCCUAUACAUCAGAUCUAGAUGUUCCCUCAUCAGUUGAUACGAGUAUCACCUCUCCAGAGCCCAAAUCAGUUGAUACGAGUAGUAUCACCUCUCCCAUUCCUUCAGACUCCCAAGCACCUGCCCAUCCCACUCCAUAGCCCAGCCACCCACUCUCAUGUACCAUAUGGCCAUCCCAGUAAGCAAGCCAACCACUAGAAUUUG
Molecule: long non-coding RNA, 268 nt
Organism: Macrobrachium nipponense
Lineage: Eukaryota; Metazoa; Arthropoda; Malacostraca; Decapoda; Palaemonidae
Exons: 3
Source: RefSeq, a predicted model, not a curated record